GAUGAACGCUGGCGGCGUGCCUAAUACAUGCAAGUCGAGCGAACGGACGAGAAGCUUGCUCCUCUGAUGUUAGCGGCGGACGGGUGAGUAACACGUGGAUAACCUACCUAUAAGACUGGGAUAACUUCGGGAAACCGGAGCUAAUACCGGAUAAUAUAUUGAACCGCAUGGUUCAAUAGUGAAAGACGGUUUUGCUGUCACUUAUAGAUGGAUCCGCGCCGCAUUAGCUAGUUGGUAAGGUAAUGGCUUACCAAGGCAACGAUGCAUAGCCGACCUGAGAGGGUGAUCGGCCACACUGGAACUGAGACACGGUCCAGACUCCUACGGGAGGCAGCAGUAGGGAAUCUUCCGCAAUGGGCGAAAGCCUGACGGAGCAACGCCGCGUGAGGGAUGAAGGUCUUCGGAUCGUAAAACUCUGUUAUUAGGGAAGAACAAAUGUGUAAGUAACUGUGAACAUCUUGACGGUACCUAAUCAGAAAGCCACGGCUAACUACGUG
Molecule: ribosomal RNA, 497 nt
Filed under: uncultured bacterium
Lineage: Bacteria
Description: partial 16S ribosomal RNA
Rfam family: Bacterial small subunit ribosomal RNA
Source: RNAcentral